GUGGCUUCUCUAGAAAGGCUUGUUGCUUUGAUCUCGAAUCCUGGGUGACAUGCUUCAAAUUUUGCCUUUAAAAAGCCCUGGCAAAACGUUUCAGUUAUUACCAAAUUGCUUUCAAUGCCAUAUUGCGAAUGGUGGGGUGGAGACUUACAGGAAUCCUGAGAUCCAGCCUGAAAAAAAUGAAGGAAACUACAAAAAGGACUAGCCUUCGGCAUACAUUUUCUGGAACUUACCAACAUCUAGUUAGUGGAUUUACUCUUUUUUAUUAUUUUAUUUUUAGUCUCCCACUACAGAUGGCCAGACACACUAGCCAAAACUUCUCCUGGCUGCUCCCAUUGCCGCUAAACCUUAAGAUUUACCUUUUUUUUCAUGAAGAAGUUGAGCUCUGUUCUUUUUCACUUUUAACAAUUUGGACUACUUCAUUUUUACUAGCUCACUUGACUAAAACACUUCCUUUUAGAUGUUUUUCCCUACUUGGAAUAGUGUGUUUUGGAAACUAAUGUGCUCACACGCUGCUCUCCGUGAGCCGCAUGUGUCUGCUGUUAAAACCUUAUUCUUUUGACUGCCUGUAAAAAAGGCCCCAGGGUGGGAUGCUGAAAGCUGCCUGGAUCUUGGAGGUCUGUAACUGAUAGCCAUGUAUUUCAGGCCAACAGGACUACUUACAUACUCAUCCUUUUUGUAAGCACCUGGAUAUUAAAAUAA
This is a long non-coding RNA of Podarcis raffonei (Aeolian wall lizard), 699 nucleotides long. RefSeq lists it as uncharacterized. The transcript is spliced from 3 exons. The record is from RefSeq and is a predicted model, not a curated record. Lineage: Eukaryota; Metazoa; Chordata; Lepidosauria; Squamata; Lacertidae.